UACAUGCAAGUCGAGCGGAUCUUCAUUAGCUUGCUUUUGAAGAUCAGCGGCGGACGGGUGAGUAACACGUGGGCAACCUGCCUGUAAGACUGGGAUAACUUCGGGAAACCGGAGCUAAUACCGGAUAAUCCUUUCCCUCACAUGAGGGAAAGCUGAAAGACGGUUUCGGCUGUCACUUACAGAUGGGCCCGCGGCGCAUUAGCUAGUUGGUGAGGUAAUGGCUCACCAAGGCGACGAUGCGUAGCCGACCUGAGAGGGUGAUCGGCCACACUGGGACUGAGACACGGCCCAGACUCCUACGGGAGGCAGCAGUAGGGAAUCUUCCGCAAUGGACGAAAGUCUGACGGAGCAACGCCGCGUGAGCGAUGAAGGCCUUCGGGUCGUAAAGCUCUGUUGUCAGGGAAGAACAAGUACCGGAGUAACUGCCGGUACCUUGACGGUACCUGACCAGAAAGCCACGGCUAACUACGUGCCAGCAGCCGCGGUAAUACGUAGGUGGCAAGCGUUGUCCGGAAUUAUUGGGCGUAAAGCGCGCGCAGGCGGUUCCUUAAGUCUGAUGUGAAAGCCCCCGGCUCAACCGGGGAGGGUCAUUGGAAACUGGGGAACUUGAGUGCAGAAGAGGAGAGCGGAAUUCCACGUGUAGCGGUGAAAUGCGUAGAGAUGUGGAGGAACACCAGUGGCGAAAGCGGCUCUCUGGUCUGUAACUGACGCUGAGGCGCGAAAGCGUGGGGAGCGAACAGGAUUAGAUACCCUGGUAGUCCACGCCGUAACGAUGAGUGCUAAGUGUUAGAGGGUUUCCGCCCCUUUAGUGCUGCAGCAAACGCAUUAAGCCACUCCGCCUGGGGGAGUACGGCCGCAAGGCUGAAACUCAAAGGAAUUUGAACGGGGGCCCGCCAACAAGCGGUG
RNAcentral lists this ribosomal RNA (906 nucleotides) under uncultured bacterium. Its description in RNAcentral is "bacterial SSU rRNA". It matches the Rfam family "Bacterial small subunit ribosomal RNA", at positions 52 to 934 of the family's 1533-position model. The record is from RNAcentral.